This 551-nucleotide ribosomal RNA is filed under the name uncultured bacterium. Its description in RNAcentral is "partial 16S ribosomal RNA". It matches the Rfam family "Bacterial small subunit ribosomal RNA", at positions 355 to 899 of the family's 1533-position model. The record is from RNAcentral.
UGGGGAAUAUUGCACAAUGGGCGAAAGCCUGAUGCAGCAACGCCGCGUGAGUGAUGAAGGCCUUCGGGUUGUAAAGCACUUUUGUCCGGAAAGAAAUCCUUGGCUCUAAUACAGUCGGGGGAUGACGGUACCGGAAGAAUAAGCACCGGCUAACUACGUGCCAGCAGCCGCGGUAAUACGUAGGGUGCAAGCGUUAAUCGGAAUUACUGGGCGUAAAGCGUGCGCAGGCGGUUUGCUAAGACCGAUGUGAAAUCCCCGGGCUCAACCUGGGAACUGCAUUGGUGACUGGCAGGCUAGAGUAUGGCAGAGGGGGGUAGAAUUCCACGUGUAGCAGUGAAAUGCGUAGAGAUGUGGAGGAAUACCGAUGGCGAAGGCAGCCCCCUGGGCCAAUACUGACGCUCAUGCACGAAAGCGUGGGGAGCAAACAGGAUUAGAUACCCUGGUAGUCCACGCCCUAAACGAUGUCAACUAGUUGUUGGGGAUUCAUUUCCUUAGUAACGUAGCUAACGCGUGAAGUUGACCGCCUGGGGAGUACGGUCGCAAGAUUAAAA